UACGGGAGGCAGCAGUGGGGAAUAUUGCACAAUGGGCGCAAGCCUGAUGCAGCCAUGCCGCGUGUAUGAAGAAGGCCUUCGGGUUGUAAAGUACUUUCAGUCGUGAGGAAGGUGUUAAGGUUAAUAACCUUAGCAAUUGACGUUAGCGACAGAAGAAGCACCGGCUAACUCCGUGCCAGCAGCCGCGGUAAUACGGAGGGUGCGAGCGUUAAUCGGAAUUACUGGGCGUAAAGGGCACGCAGGCGGUUAAUUAAGUUGGAUGUGAAAUCCCCGGGCUUAACCUGGGAAUGGCAUUCAAGACUGGUUAGCUAGAGUCUUGUAGGGGGGUGAAUUCCAUGUGUAGCGGUGAAAUGCGUAGAGAUGUGGAGGAAUACCGGUGGCGAAGGCGGCCCCUGGGACAAAGACUGACGCUCAUGUGCGAAAGCGUGGGGAGCAAACAGGGAUUAGAUACC
Molecule: ribosomal RNA, 452 nt
Filed under: uncultured bacterium
Lineage: Bacteria
Description: bacterial SSU rRNA
Rfam family: Bacterial small subunit ribosomal RNA
Source: RNAcentral